Molecule: long non-coding RNA, 502 nt
Organism: Erinaceus europaeus (western European hedgehog)
Lineage: Eukaryota; Metazoa; Chordata; Mammalia; Eulipotyphla; Erinaceidae
Exons: 2
Source: RefSeq, a predicted model, not a curated record
GGGUUGUUGGUCAUGGUCUGUAGUUAUACUGGCUGUCUCCCUUGCUUACUUAAAGGUACAAUCCAAUUGAAAAUAAAGAUUUUUGCAGGUUUGCUCAUUACACACAGUGUCGGCAGCUGGUGAGUGUCUUUUGCAAUUCAUCAGAGGCCUCCCGGACCACCUGGUCUCAGCAUCCUGCAAACAGCUGGCUCUGGGACCCCUUAUUCACCGUCCUGCUGAAGGCCAGUUAUCCCUACCCCUUCCAGAAGUUGUUGUGGGAGCUCACGCCAGCAGCUGCUUCCAAGUCCUCAUCUUGGCUCCACCUCAUAAAUACAUUUAAAAAAAAAAAAAAACUUCACAACAACAAGAACACAACAAAAAAAGAAUUUGAAUAGGAAAACGCAAACCAAGCUAUAUCCUCAUCAUCAAACAAGCCAAAUAUCCCAUUCUAUAUGAAAACAGCUCAAUGUAAUAGAAAAGAAAAAAGACUUGUAGUUUUAAAAUAAAUCUGGAUUUAUUUUCA